UAAGCACUUGAAUUCUAUACUCAAAUGGUCUAGGUCUACCUCUAAAACUCCUCAAUCAGAUGGAAAUUUUCUUCAAUUCGAAGAAGGUUACUUAGUUGAGACUGUUGUAGAAGGAAAUGAACUUGGUGUUGUGCCAUAUAAAAUCCGUGUCUCAGAGGAUGGUGAACUUUUUGCUGUUGAUGCUAUUAAUAGCAAAAUCGUUAGAAUUACUCCCCCGUUAUCUCAAUAUAGUAGAGCAAGAUUAGUUGCUGGUUCAUUUCAAGGUCACACUGGCCAUGUGGACGGGAAGCCAAGUGAUGCCCGUUUCAAAAAUCCAAAAGGAGCUACCAUGGACGACAAAGGAAACAUUUAUGUUGCUGAUACCUCAAAUCUGGCUAUUAGGAAGAUUGGAGAAGCAGGUGUGACAACAAUUGCUGGAGGAAAGUCUAAUGUUCCGGGAUACAGGGAUGGGCCAAGUGAAGAUGCACAAUUUUCAAGCGACUUCGAUGUUAUAUAUGUCCGUCCAACUUGUUCAUUACUCGUUGUUGAUCGAGGAAAUGCUGCUCUUCGGCAAAUUUCUCUCAGUCAGGAGGACUGUGACUACCAAUACAGCUCAGUGUCAACCAUAGAUGUUCUCAUGGUUAUUGGUGCUAUUAUAAUAGGA
RNAcentral lists this unclassified non-coding RNA (643 nucleotides) under Hevea brasiliensis (rubber tree). Lineage: Eukaryota; Viridiplantae; Streptophyta; Magnoliopsida; Malpighiales; Euphorbiaceae. The record is from RNAcentral.